Molecule: ribosomal RNA, 468 nt
Filed under: uncultured bacterium
Lineage: Bacteria
Description: partial 16S ribosomal RNA
Rfam family: Bacterial small subunit ribosomal RNA
Source: RNAcentral
GACGAACGCUGGCGGCGAGCUUAACACAUGCCAGUCGAACGGAAAGGCCCUGCUUUUGUGGGGUGCUCGAGUGGCGAACGGGUGAGUAACACGUGAGUAACCUGCCCUUGACUUUGGGAUAACUUCAGGAAACUGGGGCUAAUACCGGAUAGGAGCUCCUGCUGCAUGGUGGGGGUUGGAAAGUUUCGGCGGUUGGGGAUGGACUCGCGGCUUAUCAGCUUGUUGGUGGGGUAGUGGCUUACCAAGGCUUUGACGGGUAGCCGGCCUGAGAGGGUGACCGGCCACAUUGGGACUGAGAUACGGCCCAGACUCCUACGGGAGGCAGCAGUGGGGAAUAUUGCACAAUGGGCGGAAGCCUGAUGCAGCAACGCCGCGUGCGGGAUGACGGCCUUCGGGUUGUAAACCGCUUUCGCCUGUGACGAAGCGUGAGUGACGGUAAUGGGUAAAGAAGCACCGGCUAACUACGUG